CCUACGGGCGACAGCAGUGAGGAAUAUUGGUCAAUGGGCGCGAGCCUGAAGCAGCCAAGUAGCGUGAAGGAUGACUGCCCUACGGGUUGUAAACUUCUUUUAUAAAGGAAUAAAGUGAGGCACGUGUGCCUUUUUGUAUGUACUUUAUGAAUAAGGAUCGGCCAACUCCGUGCCAGCAGCCGCGGUAAUACGGAGGAUCCGAGCGUUAUCCGGAUUUAUUCGGUUUAAAGGGAGCGUAGAUGGGUUGUUAAGUCAGUUGUGAAAGUUUGCGGCACAACCGUAAAAUUGCAAUGGAUACUGGCAGACUUGAGUACAGUUGAGGUAGGCGGAAUUCGUGGUGUAGCGGUGAAAUGCGUAGAUAUCACGAGGAACACCGAUUGCGAAGGCAGCCUACUAAACUGCCACUGACGUUGAUGCUCGAAAGUGUGGGUAUCAAACAGGAUUAGAUACCCCAGUAGUC
Molecule: ribosomal RNA, 460 nt
Filed under: uncultured bacterium
Lineage: Bacteria
Description: partial 16S ribosomal RNA
Rfam family: Bacterial small subunit ribosomal RNA
Source: RNAcentral